RNAcentral lists this ribosomal RNA (509 nucleotides) under Cercospora zebrina. RNAcentral's name for it is "eukaryotic LSU rRNA". The stretch from base 164 to 317 matches the Rfam family "5.8S ribosomal RNA". Lineage: Eukaryota; Fungi; Ascomycota; Dothideomycetes; Mycosphaerellales; Mycosphaerellaceae. The record is from RNAcentral.
CUGCGGAGGGAUCAUUACUGAGUGAGGGCCUUCGGGCUCGACCUCCAACCCUUUGUGAACACAACUUGUUGCUUCGGGGGCGACCCUGCCGUUUCGACGGCGAGCGCCCCCGGAGGCCUUCAAACACUGCAUCUUUGCGUCGGAGUUUAAGUAAAUUAAACAAAACUUUCAACAACGGAUCUCUUGGUUCUGGCAUCGAUGAAGAACGCAGCGAAAUGCGAUAAGUAAUGUGAAUUGCAGAAUUCAGUGAAUCAUCGAAUCUUUGAACGCACAUUGCGCCCCUUGGUAUUCCGAGGGGCAUGCCUGUUCGAGCGUCAUUUCACCACUCAAGCCUCGCUUGGUAUUGGGCGCCGCGGUGUUCCGCGCGCCUCAAAGUCUCCGGCUGAGCUGUCCGUCUCUAAGCGUUGUGAUUUCAUUAAUCGCUUCGGAGCGCGGGCGGUCGCGGCCGUUAAAUCUUUCACAAGGUUGACCUCGGAUCAGGUAGGGAUACCCGCUGAACUUAAGCAUAU